CCAGCAGAGGAGCUGGCCCUUGGAUUGAAUGAAAACCGAACCAUUGUGGAGGGCAUCCCUGGGGGCAGCUCUUCCUCAGACCCAAAGACAGGGACCAGUAGCAGCAACACCUUCAUUACUGUUUUACAUAAUACACCAACACUUUUACCUGUUCCCAUGCAAGUGGUGGCUGAAGCAUAUGCAGACCGUGAAGAAACCCUCUCAGGAGACUGUCCUUUGGAGGAAGAACCUGUAAGUGCAUAAAUACCUUUACACUAAUUUGUAUAUAGUCUACUUGUGUACCUAUUCUUUCUGUCUGCAAUUUGAGUUGCAGGAGUCCACACCUAGAGAAAGGCUUGCAGAAGAGUCUGCACAAAGAACUAAUACAGAGGUGGACAGUGUUGUACUUUUACUUUUUACUUUUGUUGCAUGAGGCAUGUUUUCACUUUUUUUUUUGUUUUUUUUUACAAAAUGACAGGGUG
This is a long non-coding RNA of Carassius carassius (crucian carp), 461 nucleotides long. RefSeq lists it as uncharacterized. The transcript is spliced from 3 exons. The record is from RefSeq and is a predicted model, not a curated record. Lineage: Eukaryota; Metazoa; Chordata; Actinopteri; Cypriniformes; Cyprinidae.